RNAcentral lists this ribosomal RNA (397 nucleotides) under uncultured bacterium. RNAcentral's name for it is "partial 16S ribosomal RNA". It matches the Rfam family "Bacterial small subunit ribosomal RNA", at positions 523 to 918 of the family's 1533-position model. The record is from RNAcentral.
AUACGGAAGGUCCGGGCGUUAUCCGGAUUUAUUGGGUUUAAAGGGUGCGCAGGCGGCCCGGUAAGUCUGGAGUGAAAGUCCUGUUUUUAAGAUGGGAAUUGCUUUGGAUACUGUCGGGCUUGAGUGCAGGAGAGGUAAGUGGAAUUCCCAGUGUAGCGGUGAAAUGCGUAGAGAUUGGGAGGAACACCAGUGGCGAAGGCGACUUACUGGACUGUAACUGACGCUGAGGCGCGAAAGUGUGGGGAGCAAACAGGAUUAGAUACCCUGGUAGUCCACACUGUAAACGAUGAAUGCUAGGUGUAGGGGGUAUCGACCCCUUCUGUGCCGCAGUCAACACAAAAAGCAUUCCGCCUGGGGAGUACGGCCGCAAGGUUGAAACUCAAAUGAAUUGACGGGG